CCCGGAGGAAACCCAUGCAGACCCAGGGAGAACGUACAAGCUCCUUACAGACAGUGGCUGGAAUUGAACCCAAGUCACUGGCACUGUAAAGCAUUACGCUAACUGCUACAUGACCGUGCCUGCCCACUACAAUUCAGUUCACUUGGGUAUCAAGGUGAAUUUUCACUUUGUAAAGUAGGUUCAGAACUGUGGAACCAAUACCUGAAGGUGGAAUCUCACUCUUCUGUAAUAUUCAACAUACUUAGGAUCCAAGCUGAC
Molecule: long non-coding RNA, 258 nt
Organism: Pristis pectinata (smalltooth sawfish)
Lineage: Eukaryota; Metazoa; Chordata; Chondrichthyes; Rhinopristiformes; Pristidae
Exons: 3
Source: RefSeq, a predicted model, not a curated record